GAGCGAGCAGAGAAGUAUUAUUUGCGUGCAUCUGAUAUCAAAUAAAACUUUUUUGGUUGCUGCG
Molecule: microRNA precursor, 64 nt
Filed under: Drosophila mojavensis
Lineage: Eukaryota; Metazoa; Arthropoda; Insecta; Diptera; Drosophilidae
Description: Dmo-Mir-974_pre stem-loop
Source: RNAcentral